Molecule: transfer-messenger RNA, 110 nt
Filed under: Bacillota bacterium
Lineage: Bacteria; Bacillati; Bacillota
Description: partial transfer-messenger RNA
Rfam family: transfer-messenger RNA
About the family: Bacterial tmRNA, also known as 10Sa RNA or SsrA, is named for its dual tRNA and mRNA-like properties. Its role is to liberate the mRNA from a stalled ribosome.
Source: RNAcentral
GGGGGCGUACUUGGUUUCGACGGGGAUAUGUUGUAUCUAAGAAGCGAGUCGAGGGAACCUGUGGGCCCGCGUUAAAAAACUAUGGGAUUAAAUAUAAACGCAAACGAAAA